Long non-coding RNA from Oncorhynchus masou masou (cherry salmon), 1346 nucleotides. RefSeq lists it as uncharacterized. NCBI's taxonomy places the organism in Eukaryota, Metazoa, Chordata, Actinopteri, Salmoniformes, Salmonidae. The record is from RefSeq and is a predicted model, not a curated record. The transcript has 3 exons.
CACCACAGAACCUGAAGGGAAGAGAACCACCACAGAACCUGGACUAAAGAGCUAUGGCCCCAAACCAAAGCUAGUCCUUACACUCUAUUCUCUUGCUAAUAUAUUGUUAUAAUAUAAUGAAGGUUCACCCAAGUUACAAAAUGACACAUUGGUUUCCCUUCCCUUUUAGCAGUCUAUGAACAUGGUGACAUCAGUCCCUGCUUUGGUUUAGUUUCCCCUGACACUGUUUCCACCUGCUAACGUUUUAGCAUUCGUGGCACAAAUCUCAUUCGUCAUGUGACUGAUAAGAGGCAUUUCUUGCGCAUCAUUUCGAAAUCAAUCAAAAGUUUAAAAAAAUGCGUUGUGAAGGUCAACAAAGUCACUUCUAGAUGAUUUGAACAUGAUGAGAGAAUGUUAAUAUCAGUCCCGUGACUUGAAUGGGAUUUUUGUAAAUGUGGGAGUAUUCGACAUUGUAGCUGACUUUAUAGGCAAGUCGAGAUCUACAAAUCACCUUGCAUGAUGAAUAACUACUCAAUAUUAUUUAUAGAUCAUUCAGUCAGUCACAAUUUACCCAUAAUACAUCAGUUUUGAUGUUCUCAAACACUGUCUGAGUGACUGCUGAAGGAAGCCUUCUCUGCAUAAGCUUCUUGGUCCCUGACAUAGAGUUGGAUAGAAGGUACAUCUUGACAUCUUAGUCAUGAUGUCUUCUGUGACAGAAUGAGCAGCACCAUUGAGGGCUAUUUCCGUAUUAAAGUAGUUAAUAUCUUCAACUUCCAUAAGUUUAAUAACAGUCGGUAUACCAACUGAAAUGGUGUAUUCAAUGGCUUUAGCCAUGCUAAAACAGGCUUUGAAGCAAGUACGCCCUCUAUUCAACUCUAUCGUCCCUGACUGCUUCAAUGUUGUGUCAACCGGACUUCAAACCUCACACUCAGUGUCUAUUUAUAUAGACUUCCAGUAAGUUAACUUGCAACACAUCUCCCCUUCACUCUACUGCAGGGUGGGAGAUGCAACAAUGGCCUUGAGAACAGCAGGAAGUGUGUUGGGGGUCUUUCUCUGGUCUGUGGCAGUGGUACUGAGUCAGAAUGGCUGGAGUGUUACAUACACCACUCAGAGUAUCUGUACCUUGAAGGGGUCAACAGUGGAGAUGUCCUGCUCUUACACAUAUCCCAGAGGUUAUAUCAUCACAACAACCUUCUGGUUCAUAACAAAUAAUGCUGAGGGGAAUCCUGUGAGUCUGAGUGAUGACCCAGACUACAAAGGACGUGUGACGUACCGUAGUGAUAAGAUGAAUGGACACACCCUGACAAUCACAGACCUGAGAGAGAGUGACUCAGCUACGUACAUGUUCAGCUUUAUAACAGAUCAGA